UAAAAAAUUUCAGAGUCUAUAACAGUCUUC
RNAcentral lists this non-coding RNA (30 nucleotides) under Mus musculus (house mouse). Lineage: Eukaryota; Metazoa; Chordata; Mammalia; Rodentia; Muridae. The record is from RNAcentral.